ACCCUAAUGAAGCAGUACCAGGCAGCCAAUGAUAUUCCAAAUCAUUAACUGAUCAGAAAGCACAAGGAUUCCCAAUCUCAGCCCAAGACCGUGGAAUCUCACUGUAUCUGUACCGAUCCUGUAGACGAUUUGAUCCGAGUACGUGGUCUUGCUGAGGAUUGGAGGACAACAACUAACUGGAUGUCUUCAUCAUAUAGAUGGCAAAGUGCGGCGUCAACCAACAGUAGUCCACAUAUCUUUUCAAAAGUUUUAUGCAAGCUUGCUAGCGCACCUCUUUUCGAAUGUUUUCUACCUCGUCACGUGUUGAAAAAAUAUCUCG
Rhodamnia argentea is the source of this 319-nucleotide long non-coding RNA. RefSeq lists it as uncharacterized. The transcript is spliced from 3 exons. Lineage: Eukaryota; Viridiplantae; Streptophyta; Magnoliopsida; Myrtales; Myrtaceae. The record is from RefSeq and is a predicted model, not a curated record.